This 440-nucleotide ribosomal RNA is filed under the name uncultured bacterium. Its description in RNAcentral is "partial 16S ribosomal RNA". It matches the Rfam family "Bacterial small subunit ribosomal RNA", at positions 338 to 795 of the family's 1533-position model. The record is from RNAcentral.
CCUAUGGGAGGCAGCAGUGGGGAAUAUUGCACAAUGGGGGAAACCCUGAUGCAGCGACGCCGCGUGAGCGAUGAAGUAUUUCGGUAUGUAAAGCUCUAUCAGCAGGGAAGAAAAUGACGGUACCUGACUACGAAGCCUCGGCUAACUACGUGCCAGCAGCCGCGGUACUACGUCGGGGGCAAGCGUUAUCCGGAUUUACUGGGGGUAAAGGGAGCGUAGACGGCGGUGCAAGCCAGAUGUGAAAGCCCUGGGCUCAACCCCGGGACUGCAUUUGGAACUGUGCGGCUAGAGUGUGAGAGAGGCAGGCGGAAUUCCUGGUGUAGCGGUGAAAUGCGUAGAGAUUGGGAGGAACACCAGUGGCGAAGGCAGCCUGCUGGACGAUGACUGACGUUGAGGCUCGAAAGCGUGGGGAGCAAACAGGAUUAGAUACCCUAGUAGUC